Molecule: ribosomal RNA, 301 nt
Filed under: uncultured bacterium
Lineage: Bacteria
Description: partial 16S ribosomal RNA
Rfam family: Bacterial small subunit ribosomal RNA
Source: RNAcentral
CAGUAGCCGCGGUAAUACGGAGGGUGCAAGCGUUAAUCGGAAUUACUGGGCGUAAAGCGCACGCAGGCGGUCUGACAAGUCAGAUGUGAAAUCCCCGGGCUUAACCUGGGAACUGCAUUUGAAACUGUCAGGCUGGAGUCUUGUAGAGGGGGGUGGAAUUCCAGGUGUAGCUGUGAAAUGCGUAGAGAUCUGGAGGAAUACCGGUGGCGAAGGCGGCCCCCUGGACAAAGACUGACGCUCAGGUGCGAAAGCGUGGGGAGCAAACAGGAUUAGAUACCCCUGUAGUCCCUGUCUCUUAUAC